RNAcentral lists this ribosomal RNA (499 nucleotides) under uncultured Glomeromycotina. RNAcentral's name for it is "partial small subunit ribosomal RNA". It matches the Rfam family "Eukaryotic small subunit ribosomal RNA", at positions 591 to 1092 of the family's 1831-position model. Lineage: Eukaryota; Fungi; Glomeromycota. The record is from RNAcentral.
CUAAUAGCGUAUAUUAAAGUUGUUGCAGUUAAAAAGCUCGUAGUUGAAUUUCGGGAUCAGUACGCUGGUCGUGCCUUCGGUAUGCACUGGUGUCACUGGUUCCUCCCUUCUGACGAACCGUCAUGCCAUUCACUUGGUGUGGCAGGAAAUCAGGACUGUUACUUUGAAAAAAUUAGAGUGUUUAAAGCAGGCUCACGCUUGAAUACAUUAGCAUGGAAUAAUGAAAUAGGACGUUGAUCUUAUUUUGUUGGUUUCUAGGAUUGACGUAAUGAUUAAUAGGGAUAGUUGGGGGCAUUAGUAUUCAAUUGUCAGAGGUGAAAUUCUUGGAUUUAUUGAAGACUAACUACUGCGAAAGCAUUUGCCAAGGGUGUUUUCAUUAAUCAAGAACGAAAGUUAGGGGAUCGAAGACGAUCAGAUACCGUUGUAGUCUUAACCAUAAACUAUGCCGACUAGGGAUCGGAUGAUGUUAAUUUUUUAAUGACUCAUUCGGCGCCUUACG